Molecule: ribosomal RNA, 357 nt
Filed under: Triticum aestivum (bread wheat)
Lineage: Eukaryota; Viridiplantae; Streptophyta; Magnoliopsida; Poales; Poaceae
Description: partial small subunit ribosomal RNA
Source: RNAcentral
GAGACGAUCAACCACCUACUCCUUGGGUGCGUCCUGGCUCGACAAGUGUGGACAGACGUAGCUAGCAACUGGGCUAGGCCGACGUGGGUGCCACGGCAUGACAGUAAUCUGGUGGACUGGUGGACUUCGCUGGACCCACAACAAGAUAUGAGGAAAGAAACAUGGACAAUCGUCGCCUUAGUGGCAUGGACACUCUGGAGACACAGGAACGACAUCGUUUUCAAUGGUGUAGUACCGUCGGCGGAUGUAGUGCUGAACAAGAUUAACACCGAGGGACAAAACUGGUGGGCGGCGGCUCUGUUGAGGGAAGAUAGAUCCCUACCGAUGAGGGUGGACAGGUUGGAUAGAGUCGAGUAG